Molecule: long non-coding RNA, 311 nt
Organism: Enhydra lutris kenyoni (northern sea otter)
Lineage: Eukaryota; Metazoa; Chordata; Mammalia; Carnivora; Mustelidae
Exons: 3
Source: RefSeq, a predicted model, not a curated record
UGUGGAGAGGAAGAUGCGAGCACACGAUUGUCCUGGGUGAUGACUUGGCUCAGCCACGGUCUUUGGCUUUAGAUCCGCUAAAUGGGUUAAUGUACUGGUCUGAAAUCGGAGGAGAACCUCAAAUAGAACAAGCAGGGAUGGACGGUAGUGGCAGGAAAGUCCUCAUCAGUCAAGGUCUUGGCUUGCCAACCAGCAUAGCUCUCGACCGGUUGAGCUGGAAGAUAUUCUGGUCUGAUGACAAAUUUCACUGUAUUGGCUCUGCUAAUCUGGAUGGUACUGGUGUUAGCAUGUUGCAGCUAACACAAAUCAGG